This 776-nucleotide ribosomal RNA is filed under the name uncultured Neocallimastigales. RNAcentral describes it as "partial large subunit ribosomal RNA". It matches the Rfam family "Eukaryotic large subunit ribosomal RNA", at positions 24 to 647 of the family's 3401-position model. Lineage: Eukaryota; Fungi; Neocallimastigomycota; Neocallimastigomycetes; Neocallimastigales. The record is from RNAcentral.
GUAGUCUCGCACAGAUGCAUAUCAAUAAGCGGAGGAAAAGAAACUAACAAGGAUUCCCCUAGUAACGGCGAGUGAAGCGGGAAGAGCUCAAAUUUGAAAUCUUAAAGGGUUUCCCUUUACGAAUUGUAGUUUAAAGAGGUGUUUUCUGUUGAGGUUUUGGUAAAAGUUCUUUGGAAUAGGACAUCAUAGAGGGUGAGAAUCCCGUAUUUGACCUUUACUUUCAACUUUGUGAUACACUUUCAAAGAGUCGGAUUGUUUGGGAAUGCAGUCCAAAAUGGGUGGUAAAUUUCAUCUAAAGCUAAAUAUUGGCGAGAGACCGAUAGCGAACAAGUACCGUGAGGGAAAGAUGAAAAGAACUUUGAAAAGAGAGUUAAACAGUACGUGAAAUUGUCAAAAGGGAAGCGUUUGACACCAGUGUUGUUUUUCUGAAAAUCAAUUAAAGAACUGUUUAUGCUAAGCUGUUUAGACUUUAUCAGCUAAUCUGUUUAGUUUUGAGCUUUUCUUUAAUGCACUUUUCAGUUAACAAGUCAACAUCAAUUUCUUUUGCUGUAAAAAAGGCUUGAGGAAGGUGGCUUGAGAUUCGUCUUAAGUGUUUAUAGCCUCUUGCCUAUGCAGUCGGAGAGAUUGAGGUCUGCAGCGUAGAUCCUUCGGGGCUAAAUGCAUUUGUGCUAAGUUAUAGCAUUUCAUAGACAGCUUGUUGACUAUGAUUUGUCUUGUAGCUUACUCGCUUAUGUUAUUUUACCUACGCUUAGGAUGUUGAUCUGUAGUGCGUGCGC